CUUUCCCGCCUGCUGCUGCUGCACGGUCCGGCCGCGUGGCACCCGUGCCUGACGUUGGACGGCCACUGCCGACUUGAGAGAGACGUUCCACGGCGUCUGGGGAGCGGGGCAGGCAGGGGUGCCCCUGCCUGUCCUCUGGAGCCGCUGCACACAGCCCCUCCCCUGCCCGGCUGCAGCGGCCCGGUCGGCCUGAGCUGCGGGGCUGCCUCUGGGGCAGCUUCCUUCAGCUCCACCUCCAGAGAAGGGGCCGCUGGGACUCUCCUCAGAGCCCGCUUUGGCCUUGCGUAUAUGGGGCCGGUGGGGGCAAUCUCUCGCAAGGGGGGCGUCGUCGUGAAAUUGUUGGGAAAAAUGCGAAGAGUCGCUGCUGUUCGAGAGGGGAGAACUAAGACUUCUAAUUGCAGAGGAUGAACACAGGCAUUAAAAAGGCAAGAAGACACAGUUAAUCAUGACGUUUUGUGUCAAUUUCUUGAUCUACUUACAAACAGACAGUGAAGCUGAGUCGGCACUAGGAUCGCCCACAGGAUUUCCCAGGAGCUGCAGACAGUGAGAAGCAGCUCAUGGCCAUGGGUUCCCCAACUACCUGCAGUCCCCAUGCACUGUCUCAUUUGGGAUGGGAAUCAGAG
This 623-nucleotide long non-coding RNA is filed under the name Gallus gallus (chicken). Its description in RNAcentral is "long non-coding RNA NONGGAT009226". Lineage: Eukaryota; Metazoa; Chordata; Aves; Galliformes; Phasianidae. The record is from RNAcentral.